This 253-nucleotide ribosomal RNA is filed under the name uncultured bacterium. RNAcentral's name for it is "partial 16S ribosomal RNA". It matches the Rfam family "Bacterial small subunit ribosomal RNA", at positions 524 to 776 of the family's 1533-position model. The record is from RNAcentral.
UACGUAGGGACCGAGCGUUGUCCGGAAUCAUUGGGCGUAAAGAGCGUGUAGGCGGCUUUACAGGUCCGUUGUGAAAACUCGAGGCUCAACCUCGAGACGCCGGUGGAAACCGUAAGGCUAGAGUCCGGAAGAGGAGAGUGGAAUUCCUGGUGUAGCGGUGAAAUGCGCAGAUAUCAGGAGGAACACCGGUGGCGAAGGCGGGUCUCUGGGCCGAUACUGACGCUGAGGAGCGAAAGCGUGGGGAGCGAACAGG